GUGCCAGCAGCCGCGGUAAUACCGGCAGCCCGAGUGAUGGCCGAUCUUAUUGGGCCUAAAGCGUCCGUAGCUGGCCGCACAAGUCCAUCGGAAAAUCCACCCGCCCAACGGGUGGGCGUCCGGUGGAAACUGUGUGGCUUGGGACCGGAAGGCGCGACGGGUACGUCCGGGGUAGGAGUGAAAUCCUGUAAUCCUGGACGGACCGCCGGUGGCGAAAGCGCCUCAGGAGAACGGAUCCGACAGUGAGGGACGAAAGCCAGGGUCUCGAACCGGAUUAGAUACCCCAGUAGUCC
This 293-nucleotide ribosomal RNA is filed under the name uncultured prokaryote. Its description in RNAcentral is "partial 16S ribosomal RNA". It matches the Rfam family "Archaeal small subunit ribosomal RNA", at positions 455 to 747 of the family's 1478-position model. The record is from RNAcentral.